Molecule: ribosomal RNA, 500 nt
Filed under: uncultured Glomeromycotina
Lineage: Eukaryota; Fungi; Glomeromycota
Description: partial small subunit ribosomal RNA
Rfam family: Eukaryotic small subunit ribosomal RNA
Source: RNAcentral
CCAAUAGCGUAUAUUAAAGUUGUUGCAGUUAAAAAGCUUGUAGUUGAAUUUCGGGGUCAGUAGAUUGGUCAUGCCAUCGGUAUGUACUGGUCUUACUGGCUCCUCCUUCCUGAUGAACCGUAAUGCCAUUAAUUUGGUGUUGCGGGGAAACUGGACUGUUACUUUGAAAAAAUUAGAGUGUUUAAAGCAGGCUAACGCUUGAAUACAUUAGCAUGGAAUAAUGAAAUAGGACGUUCGAUCUUAUUUUGUUGGUUUCUAGGAUUGACAUAAUGAUUAAUAGGAAUAGUUGGGGUCAUUAGUAUUCAAUUGUCAGAGGUGAAAUUCUUGGAUUUAUUGAAGACUAACUACUGCGAAAGCAUUUGCCAAGGAUGUUUUCAUUAAUCAAGAACGAAAGUUAGGGGAUCGAAGACAAUCAGAUACCAUCGUAGUCUUAACCAUAAACUAUGCCAACUAGGGAUCGGAUGAUGUUAAUUUUUUAAUGACUCAUUCGGCGCCUUACG